CCUACGGGUGGCAGCAGUGAGGAAUAUUGGUCAAUGGACGAGAGUCUGAACCAGCCAAGUAGCGUGAAGGAUUACUGCCCUAUGGGUUGUAAACUUCUUUUAUAUGGGAAUAAAAUGUUCCACGUGUGGGUUUUUGUAUGUACCAUAUGCAUAAGGAUCGGCUAACUCCGUGCCAUCAGCCGCGGUAAUACGGAGGAUCCGAGCGUUAUCCGGAUUUAUUGGGUUUAAAGGGAGCGUAGGUGGAUUGUUAAGUAAGUUGUGAAAGUUUGCGGCUCAACCGUAAAAUUGCAGUUGAAACUGGCAGUCUUGAGUACAGUAGAGGUGGGCGGAAUUCGUGGUGUAGCGGUGAAAUGCUUAGAUAUCACGAAGAACUCCGAUUGCGAAGGCAGCUCACUGGACUGCAACUGACACUGAGGCUCGAAAGUGUGGGUAUCAAACAGGAUUAGAUACCCGUGUAGUC
RNAcentral lists this ribosomal RNA (460 nucleotides) under uncultured bacterium. Its description in RNAcentral is "partial 16S ribosomal RNA". It matches the Rfam family "Bacterial small subunit ribosomal RNA", at positions 338 to 795 of the family's 1533-position model. The record is from RNAcentral.